GGAAUCUUCCACCAAUGGACGCAAGUCUGAUGGAGCAACGCCGCGUGAGUGAAGAAGGGUUUCGGCUCGUAAAGCUCUGUUGUUAAAGAAGAACGUGGGUAAGAGUAACUGUUUACCCAGUGACGGUAUUUAACCAGAAAGCCACGGCUAACUACGCGCCAG
Molecule: ribosomal RNA, 162 nt
Filed under: uncultured bacterium
Lineage: Bacteria
Description: partial 16S ribosomal RNA
Rfam family: Bacterial small subunit ribosomal RNA
Source: RNAcentral